GAUGAACGCUGGCGGCGUGCCUAAUACAUGCAAGUCGAGCGAACAGACGAGGAGCUUGCUCCUCUGACGUUAGCGGCGGACGGGUGAGUAACACGUGGAUAACCUACCUAUAAGACUGGGAUAACUUCGGGAAACCGGAGCUAAUACCGGAUAAUAUAUUGAACCGCAUGGUUCAAUAGUGAAAGACGGUUUUGCUGUCACUUAUAGAUGGAUCCGCGCCGCAUUAGCUAGUUGGUAAGGUAACGGCUUACCAAGGCAACGAUGCGUAGCCGACCUGAGAGGGUGAUCGGCCACCCUGGAACUGAGACACGGUCCCGACUCCUACGGGAGGCAGCAGUAGGGAAUCUUCCGCAAUGGGCGAAAGCUUGACGGAGCAACGCCGCGUGAGUGAUGAAGGUCUUCGGAUCGUAAAACUCUGUUAUUAGGGAAGAACAAAUGUGUAAGUAACUAUGCACGUCUUGACGGUACCUAAUCAGAAAGCCACGGCUAACUACGUG
This 497-nucleotide ribosomal RNA is filed under the name uncultured bacterium. RNAcentral describes it as "partial 16S ribosomal RNA". It matches the Rfam family "Bacterial small subunit ribosomal RNA", at positions 28 to 507 of the family's 1533-position model. The record is from RNAcentral.